RNAcentral lists this non-coding RNA (234 nucleotides) under Oryza meridionalis. Its description in RNAcentral is "Bacterial large subunit ribosomal RNA". It matches the Rfam family "Bacterial large subunit ribosomal RNA", at positions 2652 to 2912 of the family's 2925-position model. The record is from Rfam by way of RNAcentral. Lineage: Eukaryota; Viridiplantae; Streptophyta; Magnoliopsida; Poales; Poaceae.
CGGAGAAACUGCGAGGAGCCAACCCUAGUACGAGAUGACUGGGUUGACCACCUAUGUUGUAUCAGUUGUGAUGCCAAUAGCAGCACCGGGCAGUUAAGUUGGUAUGGAAGAACUAUUGCUUUGCGGGAAAUCCUUUUGUAUAGAAGUUUUAGUGCAAGGUUUUUGAACAUAAUUUCGGUAGGCAAGAGGUGUAAGCACUGCGAGGUGUGAAGCGAUCUCAUACUAAACGAAUGU